This 440-nucleotide ribosomal RNA is filed under the name uncultured bacterium. RNAcentral describes it as "partial 16S ribosomal RNA". It matches the Rfam family "Bacterial small subunit ribosomal RNA", at positions 338 to 795 of the family's 1533-position model. The record is from RNAcentral.
CCUACGGGAGGCAGCAGUGGGGAAUAUUGCACAAUGGGGGAAACCCUGAUGCAGCGCCGCCGCGUGAGUGAAGAAGUAUUACGGUAUGUAAAGCUCUAUCAGCAGGGAAGACAAUGACGGUACCUGAGUAAGAAGCCCCGGCUAACUACGUGCCAGCAGCCGCGGUAAUACGUAGGGGGCAAGCGUUAUCCGGAUUUACUGGGUGUAAAGGGAGCGUAGACGGCAGCGCAAGUCUGAAGUGAAAUGCCGGGGCUUAACCCCGGGACUGCUUUGGAAACUGUGCAGCUAGAGUGCAGGAGAGGUAAGUGGAAUUCCUAGUGUAGCGGUGAAAUGCGUAGAUAUUAGGAGGAACACCAGUGGCGAAGGCGGCUUACUGGACUGUAACUGACGUUGAGGCUCGAAAGCGUGGGGAGCAAACAGGAUUAGAUACCCCGGUAGUC